RNAcentral lists this ribosomal RNA (200 nucleotides) under uncultured Streptococcaceae bacterium. Its description in RNAcentral is "partial 16S ribosomal RNA". It matches the Rfam family "Bacterial small subunit ribosomal RNA", at positions 139 to 334 of the family's 1533-position model. Lineage: Bacteria; Bacillati; Bacillota; Bacilli; Lactobacillales; Streptococcaceae. The record is from RNAcentral.
GGGAGUAACUAUUGGAAACGAUAGCUAAUACCGCAUAAGAACAUUUACUGCAUGGUAGAUGUUUAAAAGGUGCAAAUGCAUCACUACCGGAUGGACCUGCGUUGUAUUAGCUAGUAGGUGAGGUAACGGCUCACCUAGGCGACGAUACAUAGCCGACCUGAGAGGGUGAUCGGCCACACUGGGACUGAGACACGGCCCAG